Molecule: transfer RNA, 67 nt
Filed under: Helotrephes sp. NKMT027
Lineage: Eukaryota; Metazoa; Arthropoda; Insecta; Hemiptera; Helotrephidae
Also listed under: 1 other name
Description: tRNA-Arg
Source: RNAcentral
AAAGUAUGAAGUAAUAAUUACAUAUUAAUUUCGACUUAAUAAUAAGAGAAAUACUUCUCCUGCUUUU